GAGUUUGAUCGUGGCUCAGAAUCAACGCUGGCGGCGUGGCUAAGACAUGCAAGUCGAACGGUGUAGCAAUACACAGUGGCGGACGGGUGAGUAAUGUAUCGCUAAUGUGCCCCGGAGACAGGGAUAGCCAUCCGAAAGGGUGGGUAAUACCUGAUGAUAUAACUUUGUCGCAUGGCAGAGUUCUCAAAAGCAGCAAUGUGCUCUGGGAGCAGGCGAUAUCGUAUCAGCUAGUUGGUGAGGUAACGGCUCACCAAGGCGAUGACGCGUAGCUGGUCUGAGAGGACGACCAGCCACAUCGGGACUGAGACACUGCCCGGACUCCUACGGGGGGCUGCAGUAACGAAUCUUCCGCAAUGCACGAAAGUGUGACGGAGCGACGCCGCGUGGAGGAGAAGUCCUUCGG
RNAcentral lists this ribosomal RNA (403 nucleotides) under uncultured Phycisphaerae bacterium. RNAcentral's name for it is "bacterial SSU rRNA". It matches the Rfam family "Bacterial small subunit ribosomal RNA", at positions 9 to 421 of the family's 1533-position model. Lineage: Bacteria; Pseudomonadati; Planctomycetota; Phycisphaerae. The record is from RNAcentral.